This 445-nucleotide ribosomal RNA is filed under the name uncultured bacterium. Its description in RNAcentral is "bacterial SSU rRNA". It matches the Rfam family "Bacterial small subunit ribosomal RNA", at positions 331 to 792 of the family's 1533-position model. The record is from RNAcentral.
CCAGACUCCUACGGGAGGCAGCAGUGGGGGAUAUUGCACAAUGGGGGAAACCCUGAUGCAGCGACGCCGCGUGUGGGAAGACGGUCCUCUGGAUUGUAAACCACUGUCCCCAGGGACGAAGAUGACGGUACCUGACUAAGAAGCCCCGGCUAACUACGUGCCAGCAGCCGCGGUAAUACGUAGGGGGCGAGCGUUAUCCGGAUUCACUGGGUGUAAAGGGAGCGUAGACGGCCAUGCAAGCCAGGGGUGAAAGCCCGGGGCCCAACCCCGGGACUGCCCUUGGAACUGCAUGGCUGGAGUGCGGGAGGGGCAGGCGGAAUUCCUGGUGUAGCGGUGAAAUGCGUAGAUAUCAGGAGGAACACCGGCGGCGAAGGCGGCCUGCUGGACCGCGACUGACGUUGAGGCUCGAAAGCGUGGGGAGCGAACAGGAUUAGAUACCCCAGUA